AGAGUUUGAUCAUGGCUCAGAUUGAACGCUGGCGGCAUGCCUUACACAUGCAAGUCGAACGGCAGCGCGGGGGGUAACUCCUGGCGGCGAGUGGCGAACGGGUGAGUAAUAUAUCGGAACGUGCCCAAGAGUGGGGGAUAACCAGUCGAAAGAUUGGCUAAUACCGCAUACGAUCUACGGAUGAAAGUGGGGGAUUCGCAAGAACCUCAUGCUCCUGGAGCGGCCGAUAUCUGAUUAGCUAGUUGGUGGGGUAAAAGCCUACCAAGGCGACGAUCAGUAGCUGGUCUGAGAGGACGACCAGCCACACUGGGACUGAGACACGGCCCAGACUCCUACGG
RNAcentral lists this ribosomal RNA (338 nucleotides) under uncultured beta proteobacterium. RNAcentral's name for it is "bacterial SSU rRNA". It matches the Rfam family "Bacterial small subunit ribosomal RNA", at positions 8 to 344 of the family's 1533-position model. Lineage: Bacteria; Pseudomonadati; Pseudomonadota; Betaproteobacteria. The record is from RNAcentral.